Molecule: Y RNA, 102 nt
Filed under: Prolemur simus (greater bamboo lemur)
Lineage: Eukaryota; Metazoa; Chordata; Mammalia; Primates; Lemuridae
Description: Y RNA (ENSPSMG00000017339.1)
Rfam family: Y RNA
About the family: Y RNAs are components of the Ro ribonucleoprotein particle (Ro RNP), in association with Ro60 and La proteins. The Y RNAs and Ro60 and La proteins are well conserved, but the function of the Ro RNP is not known. In humans the RNA component can be one of four small RNAs -- hY1, hY3, hY4 and hY5.
Source: Rfam by way of RNAcentral
GGCUGGUCUGAGUGCAGCGGUAUUUACAACUAAUUGAUCAAUAUCAGUUACAGACUCCUUUGUUCCUCCUUCCCUCCCACUGCUUCAUUUGACAAGCCGUGA